Molecule: ribosomal RNA, 400 nt
Filed under: uncultured bacterium
Lineage: Bacteria
Description: bacterial SSU rRNA
Rfam family: Bacterial small subunit ribosomal RNA
Source: RNAcentral
AUAAGUGUAGAGUACACGAGCGGCGGACGGGUGAGUAACACGUGGGAAUCUACCCCAAACUGAGGGAUAAGCAUCGGAAACGGUGUCUAAUACCGCAUAUGGUCUUCGGAUUAAAGCUUCGGCGGGUUUUGGGAAAGAGCCCGCGUAAGAUUAGCUAGUUGGUGAGGUAAUGGCCCACCAAGGCGACGAUCUUUAGCUGGUUUUGAGAGGAUGAUCAGCCACACUGGAACUGAGACACGGUCCAGACUCCUACGGGAGGCAGCAGUUAGGAAUUUUCCACAAUGGGGGCAACCCUGAUGGAGCAACGCCGCGUGCAGGAUGAAGGUUUUCGGAUUGUAAACUGCUUUUGUACGUGAAGAAUAUGACGGUAGCGUACGAAUAAGGAUCGGCUAACUCCGUG